This 326-nucleotide ribosomal RNA is filed under the name Escherichia coli. RNAcentral describes it as "bacterial SSU rRNA". It matches the Rfam family "Bacterial small subunit ribosomal RNA", at positions 1 to 323 of the family's 1533-position model. The record is from RNAcentral. Lineage: Bacteria; Pseudomonadati; Pseudomonadota; Gammaproteobacteria; Enterobacterales; Enterobacteriaceae.
AAAUUGAAGAGUUUGAUCAUGGCUCAGAUUGAACGCUGGCGGCAGGCCUAACACAUGCAAGUCGAACGGUAACAGGAAACAGCUUGCUGUUUCGCUGACGAGUGGCGGACGGGUGAGUAAUGUCUGGGAAACUGCCUGAUGGAGGGGGAUAACUACUGGAAACGGUAGCUAAUACCGCAUAACGUCGCAAGACCAAAGAGGGGGACCCUCGGGCCUCUUGCCAUCGGAUGUGCCCAGAUGGGAUUAGCUUGUUGGUGGGGUAACGGCUCACCAAGGCGACGAUCCCUAGCUGGUCUGAGAGGAUGACCAGCCACACUGGAACUGAG